RNAcentral lists this transfer RNA (65 nucleotides) under Oxyloma wujiaquensis. Its description in RNAcentral is "tRNA-Val". Lineage: Eukaryota; Metazoa; Mollusca; Gastropoda; Stylommatophora; Succineidae. The record is from RNAcentral.
UUUAAUUUAGUAUAUAAUAAGUACUAUUCAUUUACAUUGAAUAAGACCCAAUCAAGGAAUUAAUU